RNAcentral lists this ribosomal RNA (1025 nucleotides) under Bacillus licheniformis. Its description in RNAcentral is "bacterial SSU rRNA". It matches the Rfam family "Bacterial small subunit ribosomal RNA", at positions 358 to 1376 of the family's 1533-position model. The record is from RNAcentral. Lineage: Bacteria; Bacillati; Bacillota; Bacilli; Caryophanales; Bacillaceae.
GGGAAUCUCCGCAAUGGACGAAAGUCUGACGGGCAACGCCGCGUGAGUGAUGAAGGUUUUCGGAUCGUAAAACUCUGUUGUUAGGGAAGAACAAGUACCGUUCGAAUAGGGCGGCACCUUGACGGUACCUAACCAGAAAGCCACGGCUAACUACGUGCCAGCAGCCGCGGUAAUACGUAGGUGGCAAGCGUUGUCCGGAAUUAUUGGGCGUAAAGCGCGCGCAGGCGGUUUCUUAAGUCUGAUGUGAAAGCCCCCGGCUCAACCGGGGAGGGUCAUUGGAAACUGGGGAACUUGAGUGCAGAAGAGGAGAGUGGAAUUCCACGUGUAGCGGUGAAAUGCGUAGAGAUGUGGAGGAACACCAGUGGCGAAGGCGACUCUCUGGUCUGUAACUGACGCUGAGGCGCGAAAGCGUGGGGAGCGAACAGGAUUAGAURCCCUGGUAGUCCACGCCGUAAACGAUGAGUGCUAAGUGUUAGAGGGUUUCCGCCCUUUAGUGCUGCAGCAAACGCAUUAAGCACUCCGCCUGGGGAGUACGGUCGCAAGACUGAAACUCAAAGGAAUUGACGGGGGCCCGCMCAAGCGGUGGAGCAUGUGGUUUAAUUCGAAGCAACGCGAAGAACCUUACCAGGUCUUGACAUCYUCUGACAACCCUAGAGAUAGGGCUUCCCCUUCGGGGGCAGAGUGACAGGUGGUGCAUGGUUGUCGUCAGCUCGUGUCGUGAGAUGUUGGGUUAAGUCCCGCAACGAGCGCAACCCUUGAUCUUAGUUGCCAGCAUUCAGUUGGGCACUCUAAGGUGACUGCCGGUGACAAACCGGAGGAAGGUGGGGAUGACGUCAAAUCAUCAUGCCCCUUAUGACCUGGGCUACACACGUGCUACAAUGGGCAGAACAAAGGGCAGCGAAGCCGCGAGGCUAAGCCAAUCCCACAAAUCUGUUCUCAGUUCGGAUCGCAGUCUGCAACUCGACUGCGUGAAGCUGGAAUCGCUAGUAAUCGCGGAUCAGCAUGCCGCGWKUGGUGCUGCUWUG